Cavia porcellus (domestic guinea pig) is the source of this 1141-nucleotide long non-coding RNA. RefSeq lists it as uncharacterized. The transcript is spliced from 3 exons. The record is from RefSeq and is a predicted model, not a curated record. NCBI's taxonomy places the organism in Eukaryota, Metazoa, Chordata, Mammalia, Rodentia, Caviidae.
UGAGCCAAAAGAAACUAAAAUUUUCAAACAGAAAAGCAGUGCUGGGAAGACAGGAAAAUAAGCACGCUGAUAAAUCAGGCUUCUGGAUUUCAACAGAUGUGUAGCCCAGCCUGGGAGCCUCUCAUUAGGUCUCUGGGGGAGACUGCCAGGUCUGAGUGGGAGUGCUGAGUCAUCUGCAGGGGCUUCCGACACAGGGGCAUGCGCCAGUUCAUGCUGAUUAAGUCACAUAAUGAGGUGCAGGGAAGGAGGCUCAUGUGCGCGUGCUCUGGGGUAGACCUUUAGUGACUCUCUGAAGCUCUGUUGUUUUGUUUUUGAGUUUUCUCAGCUCAGUUGGCCCUGGGCUGUCACUCGAGUACAACUGGGUGGAGCUGAGUGGUUUCCAGCCCCAGCUGUGCCACCUGCGCCUCCCAGGCUGACUGCCCGCAGCUCUACCCUCUCCCCCUGCAGCUCAGCAUGGCCUGACUGCCUGUCACCCAGACAGCUCACUCUCACCCACAGGACUGAGGAGACUGCCAGCUGCACCAAAAUCCUAUCAGAUGGUUCCCUGACCUGGAACGGCAGAUGGGAGACUGCUGGUGAGUCCCCUGCCGUUCAGGACCGGACUGCGUACUGGAUUAAUUCCUCACUUCUCAACACUCAGGAGCUGCUAAACUUGUCGUUGCUGGUUUGCAAACACCACCAGUCUAAUUCAUUUACCACAGCCUGCCCUGGGAUCGCUCCCAGCCGAAGCCUCCUCUGGUCCGCUCCCCGCGGCUCCUUCCGUGCUUCGCUCCGAAGCCUCUACCGGUCCGCUCUCCGUGGCUCCUUCCGGACUUCGCUCCGAAGCCUCUACCGGUCCGCUCUCUGCGGCUCCUUUUGGGCUUCUACUUCCCCCCAGGGGUGGCACCAGUAUAUAUACGGAUACAGUGUCCAAUCAUAUUAAAGUAAGCAAGGCAAGCUGAUUGGCUAACAUAUUAUUGAGCGGGUUGUUUACGCGGUAAGCAGGAAACUAACGUGCUCGAUGGGAGGGGUAAUCUAACUCAGGCUUUACUCUUUACCACAGGCCGCAUGAUCGCUAUAUGCGGCGGCUCGGCAAUGUGGUGGCUCUCAACAUAUAGGCAGUAAGCUUAACACAGAACACCACUGGUGGUUUAUAGCAAAA